RNAcentral lists this transfer RNA (72 nucleotides) under Camelus bactrianus (Bactrian camel). It matches the Rfam family "tRNA". From Rfam's summary of the family: Transfer RNA (tRNA) molecules are approximately 80 nucleotides in length. Their secondary structure includes four short double-helical elements and three loops (D, anti-codon, and T loops). Further hydrogen bonds mediate the characteristic L-shaped molecular structure. tRNAs have two regions of fundamental functional importance: the anti-codon, which is responsible for specific mRNA codon recognition, and the 3' end, to which the tRNAs corresponding amino acid is attached (by aminoacyl-tRNA synthetases). tRNAs cope with the degeneracy of the genetic code in two manners: having more than one tRNA (with a specific anti-codon) for a particular amino acid; and 'wobble' base-pairing, i.e. permitting non-standard base-pairing at the 3rd anti-codon position. The record is from Rfam by way of RNAcentral. Lineage: Eukaryota; Metazoa; Chordata; Mammalia; Artiodactyla; Camelidae. RNAcentral also lists the same sequence under 2 other names.
GGGGUUAUAGCUCAAAGGUAGAGUGCGUGCUUAGCAUGCACAAGGUCCUGGGUUCAAUCCCCAGUGCCCUCC